CCUACGGGGGGCAGCAGUGGGGAAUAUUGGACAAUGGGCGCAAGCCUGAUCCAGCCAUGCCGCGUGAGUGAUGAAGGCCUUCGGGUUGUAAAGCUCUUUCGCGAGGGAAGAAAACUUAGCCAAUAACACUGGCUGAGGCUGACGGUACCUUGAUAAGAAGCACCGGCUAACUUCGUGCCAGCAGCCGCGGUAAUA
RNAcentral lists this ribosomal RNA (195 nucleotides) under uncultured bacterium. RNAcentral describes it as "partial 16S ribosomal RNA". It matches the Rfam family "Bacterial small subunit ribosomal RNA", at positions 338 to 525 of the family's 1533-position model. The record is from RNAcentral.